Molecule: ribosomal RNA, 253 nt
Filed under: uncultured bacterium
Lineage: Bacteria
Description: partial 16S ribosomal RNA
Rfam family: Bacterial small subunit ribosomal RNA
Source: RNAcentral
GACGGAGGGGGCUAGCGUUGUUCGGAAUGACUGGGCGUAAAGGGCGCGUAGGCGGCUAUUUAAGUGAGGCGUGAAAGCCCUGGGCUUAACCCAGGAGGUGCGUUUCAUACUGGAUGGCUUGAGUACGAGAGAGGAAAGCGGAAUUCCUAGUGUAGAGGUGAAAUUCGUAGAUAUUAGGAAGAACACCAGAGGCGAAGGCGGCUUUCUGGCUCGUAACUGACGCUGAGGCGCGAAAGCGUGGGGAGCAAACAGG